RNAcentral lists this small RNA (28 nucleotides) under Bombyx mori (domestic silkworm). RNAcentral's name for it is "ovarian small RNA-35608". The record is from RNAcentral. Lineage: Eukaryota; Metazoa; Arthropoda; Insecta; Lepidoptera; Bombycidae.
UGUCAGCAUUGGGUGAGGUUUGUAAUAC